AUGGCCGUGGCUGGAUCCGACCAGGCUGCUGGCUGGAUGAUGCUGGACCGUUUCGUCUACCGCAGGGACGAGGACCACGGCGGCGGCGGCUGGCGCUUCCCGGACGAAUCUACGGCGCCCCUCAGGGCCACCUCGUCAACCUCUCUCGGCAGGCCUUUCGAGGUCGCCAUCCUGCACGCCGAGCCGCCCGCCGUCUCCCGCCUCUACGUGCGGUGGCCCGGCGGCACCAAAGGAAAAUACGGCUCCGGCACCGUGCUUAUGGCCGCGCACCGUGACUUCAUCCUCUUCCAGCUCGUCUCCAUGGCAGGUGAUAUCACGCAUGACCACUUCGUCUGCAUAGCAUGCUCGGAUCCUGCAGCUGGGCCGCACAUGGAGCUCAAACGGCUCCCCCUUUGCACCAUACCCAUGGUCGUCUUACCUCCGUGCUGUGAGGAAGACACGGAGGGAACUUCUUCUUGUGAGGAAGACACGGAGGGAACUUCUUCUUGCGAGGAAGACUCGGAGGGAACCACUAUGCAGCGAGUGUUUUUCCCCAACACCGUAGGGCUCAUUCGCGGAUCAUCCCCUGGCCAUGAAGAAGAGUUUGCCGUCGCACAGCUGGGUAUGGUCACCCAGAUACGAGGCGCCUACCAGAUGGAAGCUGAAGUGUGCGUACUCCGCUCAUGUGUGUCGGCUCCUGACGACGCUGGCAUGUGGGAGGUUCAAAAGAUACCUAUUCAGCAUAAGACUUAUGAAUUCCCGGCCCUGGAUAAUUGGUUGACGGAUGCUGUCAUCACAUUCAACAAAUAUAUCUGCUGGAUUUCCUACUACACAGGAGGUAUUCUAUUCUAUGAUAUAUUUGCAGAAACACCCAACAUUUUUUAUCUACCGUUACCUACCGCUAACCGUCCUAGAAAAAUGCAAGAAAGAGGUUUCCUUGAGAUGAACCGUAGCCUCUGUGUCACCGGUGUUGGAGGUGAUCUACUCAAGUACACUUCUGUUGUUCGCCAUGAUGAAAAACUCUGCGGCCCACUUGAACCUCGGACAGGUUAUACCAUCGUCACUGAUACUUUGAGCAUAACGGAGAGUGGUGAUAUAAACUGCUUCCAUGAAAGGGUAAAGAUAGCUUUUGAAUUGUGGCAUUACAACACCUCCGAAUGUCUCCCGCGUGAAGGCCUGAUGUACCCUCUUGUGAGCAUGGACAACCCUAGUAUUGUGCACUAUUUGAUCUCUGGGGAAGGAGAUAAGAUUGACAAGGUUUCCAUGGUUGCGUUGGAUAUGAUUACUCAGAAAGCCACUUCAAUUGUUCCAUAUAUUAAAGGAGAGGAAGACCUCUGUGGCCAAGAUGCUGACAUGGUUAAAGAAAAGUCACACCUUCUCACGUCCUUCCUUCCAUCCGAGUUCCCCAAGUUCUUGAAUCUCACAAGGUAUUGA
Molecule: ribosomal RNA, 1413 nt
Filed under: Triticum aestivum (bread wheat)
Lineage: Eukaryota; Viridiplantae; Streptophyta; Magnoliopsida; Poales; Poaceae
Description: partial small subunit ribosomal RNA
Source: RNAcentral